GUGCGCAAAGAACGCCUGUGACUUUCGCUCUAAACAUGGCGCCGAGGGUAGCAGUAGUCGGCUGUGGUGUUAUUGGAGCUACUUCUGCUCUAGAAAUUCUGCAGUCAAACCCUUCAGUAAGGCUUACCGUAAUAGCUGAUACAUUUAGCCCUGAAAACACCAGCGAUGGAGCGGCGGGUUUGCUCAUGCCUUUUGCAGUUGGUGAAACCGACCCCGGGCUAGUUAGGCGAUGGUUCAAAGAGACCAUGAGAAGAUUUGAAGAGCUUCUGAGAAGUGAAAUUGCUCCCGAGCUUGGAGUCUUCCGUGCGUCAGGAUGCUUGGUGGCAGACCACCAACAAGAGAUUCCAGACUGGAAAGACCUGGUCUAUGGCUUCAAACAAAUGAGCAGAGAAGAGCUUGAAAGGUUUCCCCUUUCUGCCAAGAUUGGUUUUGUAUUUGAGACUAUCAUUGCGCAAGGGAGCUACUACAUUCCCUGGCUGAUGAAAAGGAUACAACAUUAUGGUGGGAAAAUUGUGAAAAGAAGACUUGAUUCAUUCCAAGAGCUCGCUAAAUACUUUGAUGUAGUUGUGAACUGCUGUGGCCUUGGAGCAAAGGGGCUGGCCCAGGACCGUCACAUGUUUCCUAUCAGAGGCCAAAUACUCCGUAUUAAAGCACCAUGGAUCAAACAGUUCAUUUUAUAUGAGAAAUAUGAAGACUUGAAAGCUGGAAGAUUAAAUGAUAUUAUUCCCCAGAUGGACCAUGUGGUGUUAGGAGGGUGUGCGCAGGCUGGCAGCUUCAACACAGUGCCAACCCUCCAAGACACAGUGAACAUCAUUGAGGAUACAUCUAAAGUCAUACCUGCUCUUAAGAAUGCUGAGGUCAUCAGCAACUGGUCAGGUUUACGGCCAGGCAGGAAAACAGUGAGACUGGAAAAAGAAGUGAUGCACUUCAAAGAUGAAUCAGGAUGCAUAAUUAAAUUAAACGUCGUUCAUAACUACGGUCAUGGAGGAGCCGGCCCCUCGUUGUCAUUUGGCUGCGCUAAGGACACCGCUGACCUUGUGGCGCAAAUAUUGUCACGUGACGCAAAGUCCAUGCUUUGAACUAAGCUUCGCCACAAUAGGCGGGGUAGCCGCAACAGCAUGGCCAUUUACUGCGGGAUGGAAAUAAAUGUAUAGUCCCUACGCUGCCGUGCGGUUCAUUUACAAGCACAGUUGAUCAUUUGAAUAAGAAGGACAAGUACAGCAUUGAAGAGAUACCGCAGUCGCAUGGUGUUCAGUCCUCCCGGUCGAAAGAAAUGUCUGAGCUUUGGGCAAUGACUCCCAGAGAACCUGAGAACCCAGCAACACAGUACCGCAUUGAUUUGGGCUCAGACAUGGCACAGGCAGGGGAAGGGAUGGAGCCUCGUCCCCAGGCUACUCCUUUGCUUUCUACUCCAUGAUGCUUUGCGCGUAGACUCACACUUUCCAAUAUGGCGGACGCUUCAUGCUGACUUCUCGGGGGCGAGAGCGGAAAGGGCCUGUGACGUCAUAGCCAUGUAGAGCGUGAUAGGCCCGCCUCGAAGCAAAGGGACGAGGCAAGUACCGCCUCAAGCGAUAGAAUAUAGGUCUUCAGUUCUAUGUCACAUACUUGUAUUUCACGGGCUGGAAGGAAUGGAUUUCAUUGUAUCUAUUUAUUAGUUUUCUGAGUGGUGUCUUUCAGGAAUCCGCGAAACUUUCGCACUUUGAAACGUGAACCGUCUUUGAGAAUUGUCAACUUUUUUUGGGAAUGUUAACACCAAGAAAUAUUAAAUUUGUUUCAAUCAGUCCCAUUCACAACGUAAAAAUCAUGAGGAUCCAUUAAACAAUGUGCAAAUCUUAGAGCCAAUAAAAGCAAACCAAUUUAAGGAGGGGGCGUAAGGGAGGUGCGAAAACCGCACAGAAAAACGCCAAAAACCGUAAACCGGCAAAAUACGUCAAUAACCGUGAACCGCGAAGUCUAGAGAAACCGCACUACCGUGGAAAAAAAAUACGAAAAAAUGAAAAACCGCGCCAGAUAUAAGGCAAAACCGCAUCAGCACAAACACUUACGGCCCCAUUUAUAAGCAAAAUUAUCAAGUUUAUUGAUUUCUGUAUUGGAAAUCUCUGAGCCCUUAUAUAUGGAUAUACUAUGGAAAGAUCGGGUUAUCAAGGGUAUAAGGAAACUUGUAUAGGAACAAAACUCGUGUAUUGGGGUAGCCCCUGCUCCGAAAAAUAAUUAUGACUAAGUUAAAAUAAAUGUAGAAAGUUGAGAAAUUUUCCAGUAAAUUCGAAUGAUUCCUGCGUUACAGAAACGCCAAAUGUUUUUCUCCCUCCCAUCAAAACAAACAAAAAAAAACAAGCAAAAAUAUAAUAAAUACUAUGGAACACAUCUAAUCUCUUGCGUGAUGGUAGUUUCCUGAUUUUCUUUGGUCGACAAACACUGAAGGGAUGUUUUUAAGCCACACGAAAAAUAUGUAAUAAAAUAAAACAGGAAACCUUUUCAUUUAUAUGGGAAAAGCAACCUGCUCUAUCAAGAGGUUCAAUGUUUAGUUCUUUUUAGUCUAUUGUUAGAAUGGUUCAUACGUUAUCUUUCGGCUUAAGUUUCUUCGCCUUACGUUGACUUAUACGCAGGGAAAAACUUUUACGGAUGCCGAACCUUUGU
Molecule: RNA transcript, 2637 nt
Organism: Nematostella vectensis (starlet sea anemone)
Lineage: Eukaryota; Metazoa; Cnidaria; Anthozoa; Actiniaria; Edwardsiidae
Gene name: D-aspartate oxidase
Exons: 13
Source: RefSeq, a predicted model, not a curated record